GAAUCAAACUUAAGAGUUUGAUCCUGGCUCAGAACGAACGCUGGCGGCAGGCCUAACACAUGCAAGUCGAACGAACUCUUCGGAGUUAGUGGCGCACGGGUGAGUAACGCGUGGGAAUGUGCCCCUUAGUACGGAACAACAGUUGGAAACGACUGCUAAUACCGUAUAAUAUCUACGGAUCAAAGAUUUAUCGCUAAGGGAUCAGCCCGCGUCUGAUUAGGUAGUUGGUGAGGUAAGAGCUCACCAAGCCGACGAUCAGUAGAUGGUUUGAGAGGAUGAUCAUCCACACUGGUACUGAGACACGGACCAGACUCCUACGGGAGGCAGCAGUGAGGAAUAUUAGACAAUGGGCGCAAGCCUGAUCUAGCCAUGCCGCGUGAGUGAAGAAGGCCUUCGGGUUGUAAAGCUCUUUCAGAUGUGAGGAUAAUGACAGUAACAUCAGAAGAAGCCCCGGCUAAAUUCGUGCCAGCAGCCGCGGUAAUACGGAUGGGGCAAGCGUUGUUCGGAAUCACUGGGCGUAAAGCGUACGUAGGCGGUUUUUCAAGUCAGGAGUGAAAUCCCAGGGCUCAACCCUGGAACUGCUCUUGAAACUGGAUCACUAGAGUCCCGGAGAGGUUGGCGGAAUUCCGAGUGUAGAGGUGAAAUUCGCAGAUAUUCGGAGGAACACCAGUGGCGAAGGCGGCCAACUGGACGGGAACUGACGCUCAGGUACGAAAGCGUGGGGAGCAAACAGGAUUAGAUACCCUGGUAGUCCACGCCGUAAACGAUGUGUGCUAGUUGUUGGGCAUCAUAGAUGUUCAGUGACACAGCUAACGCGUUAAGCACACCGCCUGGGGAGUACGGUCGCAAGAUUAAAACUCAAAGGAAUUGACGGGGACCCGCACAAGCGGUGGAGCAUGUUGUUUAAUUCGAAGCAACGCGAAGAACCUUACCUACCCUUGACAUACUUGUCGCACUUACCAGAGAUGGUUUGUUUCAGUUAGGCUGGACAAUGUACAGGUGCUGCAUGGCUGUCGUCAGCUCGUGUCGUGAGAUGUUGGGUUAAGUCCCGCAACGAGCGCAACCCUUAUCGUCUGUUGCCAGCACGUAAUGGUGGGAACUCUGACGAGACUGCCGGUGAUAAGCCGGAGGAAGGCGGGGAUGACGUCAAGUCAUCAUGGCCCUUACGGGUAGGGCUACAAACGUGCUACAAUGGCUACUACAGUGGGCAGCUAGACCGUGAGGUCAUGCGAAUCUCUAAAAGUAGUCUCAGUUCGGAUUGUUCUCUGCAACUCGAGAGCAUGAAGUCGGAAUCGCUAGUAAUCGUGGAUCAGCAUGCCACGGUGAAUACGUUCCCGGGUCUUGUACACACCGCCCGUCACAUCAUGGGAGUUGGUUCUGCCCGAAGGCCGUGUGCUAACCAGUUUACUGGAGGCAGCGGACCACGGUAGGGUCAGCGACUGGGAUGAAGUCGUAACAAGGUAGCCGUAGGGGAACCUGCGGCUGGAUCACCUCCUUUCUAAGGA
This 1505-nucleotide ribosomal RNA is filed under the name Alphaproteobacteria bacterium. RNAcentral describes it as "bacterial SSU rRNA". It matches the Rfam family "Bacterial small subunit ribosomal RNA". Lineage: Bacteria; Pseudomonadati; Pseudomonadota; Alphaproteobacteria. The record is from RNAcentral.